RNAcentral lists this ribosomal RNA (468 nucleotides) under uncultured bacterium. RNAcentral describes it as "partial 16S ribosomal RNA". It matches the Rfam family "Bacterial small subunit ribosomal RNA", at positions 28 to 507 of the family's 1533-position model. The record is from RNAcentral.
GACGAACGCUGGCGGCGUGCUUAACACAUGCAAGUCGAACGGAAAGGCCCUGCUUUUGUGGGGUGCUCGAGUGGCGAACGGGUGAGUAACACGUGAGUAACCUGCCCUUGACUUUGGGAUAACUUCAGGAAACUGGGGCUAAUACCGGAUAGGAGCUCCUGCUGCAUGGUGGGGGUUGGAAAGUUUCGGCGGUUGGGGAUGGACUCGCGGCUUAUCAGCUUGUUGGUGGGGUAGUGGCUUACCAAGGCUUUGACGGGUAGCCGGCCUGAGAGGGUGACCGGCCACAUUGGGACUGGGAUACGGCCCAAACUCCUUCGGGAGGCAGCAGUGGGGAAUAUUGCACAAUGGGCGGAAGCCUGAUGCAGCAACGCCGCGUGCGGGAUGACGGCCUUCGGGUUGUAAACCGCUUUCGCCUGUGACGAAGCGUGAGUGACGGUAAUGGGUAAAGAAGCACCGGCUAACUACGUG